Molecule: ribosomal RNA, 569 nt
Filed under: uncultured bacterium
Lineage: Bacteria
Description: partial 16S ribosomal RNA
Rfam family: Bacterial small subunit ribosomal RNA
Source: RNAcentral
UGGGGAAUAUUGCACAAUGGGCGCAAGCCUGAUGCAGCCAUGCCGCGUGUGUGAAGAAGGCCUUCGGGUUGUAAAGCACUUUCAGCGAGGAGGAAGGUGGUGAGCUUAAUACGCUCAUCAAUUGACGUUACUCGCAGAAGAAGCACCGGCUAACUCCGUGCCAGCAGCCGCGGUAAUACGGAGGGUGCAAGCGUUAAUCGGAAUUACUGGGCGUAAAGCGCACGCAGGCGGUUUGUUAAGUCAGAUGUGAAAUCCCCGGGCUCAACCUGGGAACUGCAUUUGAAACUGGCAAGCUAGAGUCUCGUAGAGGGGGGUAGAAUUCCAGGUGUAGCGGUGAAAUGCGUAGAGAUCUGGAGGAAUACCGGUGGCGAAGGCGGCCCCCUGGACGAAGACUGACGCUCAGGUGCGAAAGCGUGGGGAGCAAACAGGAUUAGAUACCCCUGGUAGUCCACGCUGUAAACGAUGUCGAUUUUGGAGGUUGUGCCCUUGAGGCGUGGCUUCCGGAGCUAACGCGUUAAAUCGACCGCCUGGGGAGUACGGCCGCAAGGUUAAAACUUAAAGGAAUUGAC